Triticum aestivum (bread wheat) is the source of this 115-nucleotide non-coding RNA. Lineage: Eukaryota; Viridiplantae; Streptophyta; Magnoliopsida; Poales; Poaceae. The record is from Rfam.
AUAAUACUCCCUCCGUCCGGAAUUACUUGUCAUCAAAAUGGAUGUGUCUAGAACUAAAAUACAUCUAGAUACAUCCAUUUCAAUGACAAGUAUUUUCGGACGGAGCGAGUAGUAG